Long non-coding RNA from Phacochoerus africanus (Common warthog), 610 nucleotides. RefSeq lists it as uncharacterized. The transcript is spliced from 3 exons. The record is from RefSeq and is a predicted model, not a curated record. NCBI's taxonomy places the organism in Eukaryota, Metazoa, Chordata, Mammalia, Artiodactyla, Suidae.
CCUCCCGACGCGCUGCGCAACAGCGCGCGCUGUGCUAGGCUGCUGCUCCGGCUGGAGUGUAGUUUCCUCUACUACCCCCGCCCCCCGCACCCGGUUGGCCGCUGGGAACUCGGUAGGGACGCCAGGUCUGGAUCAAGGUUUGCUGCGGUACUCCUCCUACCUGUACCUGGAGAAGCAUGCCUUGGCUGAUUCUCCAAUCCCAUUAUGCUGAGAGACACAUGUAGCAGAGCCACUCCAGCUGGCCCAGGAACCUGAAGUAAGAAGCAGAUCCACCCAGAAACACUUCUGAGCAUUUGACUUGGCAAAAUCUGCAAAACUGAAGUUACAACCUGCAAGAUAUUUCUAUUCUUCUCCUGAUCAUCAAGUUGCAAAUGCUUCCCAGAGUCAUGAGAGCAUAAAUCCGAUUAUACACAAGGCCAAUGGGAACAAGAUAAUUGCAUAGAUCUAGUACCCAUCCAUUACAUUCAGCAUCAUAAAUCACCGGACUGCCACAACCUCAGCUUUCUGGAAUCCCUGUGUUGUUUGAAAUAUUCUACUAUUACCAUUUAUGGAAGAAAAAUAUUACACUGUCUUUGCCUGAAGUGCUAGCAAAAUAAAAUUUAAAAUUUAA